UACGUAGGUGGCAAGCGUUAUCCGGAAUUACUGGGCGUAAAGCGCACGCAGGUGGUGCGUUAAGUCUGACGUGAAAGCUCCUGGCUUAACUGGGAGAGGUCGUUGGAGACUGGCGCGCUUGAGGCGAGGAGAGGGGUGUAGAAUUCCCGGUGUAGUGGUGGAAUGCGUAGAUAUCGGGAGGAAUACCAGUGGCGAAAGCGGCACCCUGGCCUUGGCCUGACGCUCAGGUGCGAAAGCGUGGGGAGCGAACGGG
Molecule: ribosomal RNA, 253 nt
Filed under: uncultured bacterium
Lineage: Bacteria
Description: partial 16S ribosomal RNA
Rfam family: Bacterial small subunit ribosomal RNA
Source: RNAcentral